This 7115-nucleotide long non-coding RNA is filed under the name Sus scrofa (pig). RNAcentral describes it as "lncRNA (ENSSSCG00030037402.1)". The record is from RNAcentral. Lineage: Eukaryota; Metazoa; Chordata; Mammalia; Artiodactyla; Suidae.
UCAAUAGCACAUUGCCAAGAGUUGGAUGCAGAAAAGGGAAUAAUCUGUGACCAGCUUUAUCGUAUACCAUCUUUACCGCCUUCCAAACAUGUCAGAUAUAUUCAUACAUGUGUUUGUACUGUUCCCAUCACCUGACAUGAAUUAUCAACCUCCUUCUGUCCUGGAAAAUCUUAUUUCUUGUACUUCAAGGUUCUAAUCAAAUGUAACAUUCCCUGGCAUCUUACCAAUUAAUUAUAUCCUCAUACAUUUCCAUGAUCCCUUGUAUAAGCAUCUACUAUAGCAUUCAGUGAACUGUAUUAUCGUCAUUUAUAAUGUCCCCCUAAUAGACUGUCUUUGUACCAACCAUCCACACAGUACCUUGCAAGGAAUAGGCACUCAAUAAAUAUGUACUAAAUUGAAUUUAAUUGAAAACAAAGAUUAAAAUCUUCUUCAAAUAAGACUACAUUUAAAAGACUUAAGGUGGGAGUUCCCAUUGUGGGCAGCGAAAACAAAUCCAACUAGGAACCAUGAGGUUGUGCGUUCGAUCCUGGCUUCUCUCAGUGGGUUAAGGAUCUGGCAUUGCUGUGAGCUGUGGUGUAGGUUGCAGAUGGGGCUCAGAUCCUGCGUUGCUGUGGCUGUGAGACAGGCCAGCGGCUGCAGCUCCAAUUCAACUCCUAGCCUGGGAACGUCCAUACGCCACCAGUGCAGCCCUAAAAAAGACAAAAAUACACACACAAAAAAAAAUAAAUAAAUAAAGAGAGAGAGACUUAAAGUAUAACUAUACAAAACUGAACUUUUAAGUUAGAAGGAUUAAUUAGACCCACCUCAUCACAUUUGAAGGGCACUAGAGCAAUGCUCCCAGCCAAAAGCAUUUUUCCUGUGGGGCUCAUACAAAGCUUGAACUUCCAGCACAGAUUAUUCUAGGUUCUAAAAUGUUUUGCUAUAGUGCAAAGAGCAUAGGCUCUGGAGUCUAAAACACUAGGACUCAAAAUUUGGCUAUUUAUGUGAUCUUAACAACUUACUCAAUAUGUUUCUCUGCAACACUCUUGUACAUCCAUACAUAGUUAUUCGUGUUGUAAUAAUACAUGUGAAACACCCGCACAGUAUUUCCCAUACACCUAAUACACAUCAAACCCCAGAGUCCUACUAAAAAGCAAAAGGCCUGUGAUGGAGUAACCCCAAGCCUUUAUCAUUAAUAUCAUCCUCCUCAUCUUUGAGGAGAUGAGGAGGGGAAAUGAUAAGAACAGUGUGGAAGUAAAGGAAGGAGUGAGAGUUAAACAAUUUUGCAAUUUUACGAGAGCCAGUCUUGCAGCUAGUAAUUACCCAGUUAUAUCAGUUUUCCAGGACCCCAUCAGGAACAAAAGCUCCCCCAAGGGUAUACAGUGAAUAUAUCUGGUGAUACAGAACUUAAGAAUCUCUGCAUAAUUUUUCUUGGCAUCAGUCUGAAAUCAACAUUUAUUCCCAUAUACUUGGACAAGACUCCUGGGGAGAGAGUUAAGGAAGAAAAGUUGUUUAAAAUGACAUCAUACUAAUCUUUUUAACUUCCUCACUUUUUGCCCUUUUACAUUUAAAAGAGGUAGUUGUGGUAAACAAGUUUUUUUUCUCCCUAAGAAAAUAAUUUUGAAGUGGAAAAAAAAAUGAAAAGCACAUUACAAACAUAACAUUCUAAACUUGACUUCUAAAGAAAAUGUUAUCAUUGAAAUCAAUAUAAAGUGAGUUUAGACACAGUGAAGUCCUAUUUCAAAGUUAAGCCAAAUUUAAUACAUUUUAAUAAAAUCUUUAAACUUCCAAAAUCCAAGUAGGAACUUGACUCCUAUUAGAAGUCUCAACAGUUGCCCUCCGGAGGCUGCUCUCACAUCGCAGCGGCAGCUCUGGAAUACUUCUGCAUUAGAUCUGCACUACAUCAACCUACACUUGUUGAUAUCAGCCCUAAAAUGAAUCUUCAUUUUUCUGUACUCUUUUUUCUUCACUCUGGGGUCUUCAUUUUUCUGUACUCUUUCACUCUAGCUUCACUGUAAACUUCCUGGUACCCAAGUUUCUCCUAGGGUACCCUACCUUUCCCCAAUCCCAGCACAUAGAUUGGAUUCAAUAAAUGUUAAUGUGGGAGUUCCUGUUGUAGCUCAGUGGAUUAAGAACCCAACUAGUAUCCAUGAGGAUGCGGGUUUGAUCCCUGGCCUCGAUCAGUGGGUUGAAGAUUUAGCAUUACCACAAGCUGCAGGGUAGGUUGCAAGUGCAGCUCGGAUCCCUUGUUGCUCUGGCUAUGGUGUAGGCCGACAGCUAUAGCUCCGAUUUGACCCCUAGCCUGGGAACUUCCAUAUGCUGCAGGUGCAGCCAUGAAAGAAAAUAAAUAAAUAAAUAAAUAAACAUUAAUGUAUGUCUGACAAGGAAAUGUAUAAGUAGUACUUGCUGAUGGUAAAUUCCAUGAUCCAUUCAAGUUUAGAUCAAGACCUCUAGAGACCCUAAGAACAGGAAAAUUAUGGUGCCCCACAACACAUAUAUCAAAACAAAAUACUACUUAAAACAGAAAGUAUAAACUUUCAUAUAUGCUGGAAUUAAAAUAACUUCUGCUGACAAAAUUUUAGGUAAGCCAUCCAAAAGCUGAACUCCUUUCUCCUCCCCAUUGUGAGGAGAGAGGCGGGUGGAGGGAGAGAAAGCACUCUAGCAAGCUUGAGUCUCUGACUUCCUGGUGCUUAGUGUGCUACAGAACACUCCAACUCUUGGUCCACUUUAUAAAAUUAUGUCAGAAUAUUAAUUAUGGGUAUAUAUGGCUACAGAGUUAGAAAAAGGAAUCAAAUAAUUGCCUAAAUCCAUAUUCAUACUCAAUUCUCUCUUGCAAGUAUCCAGAUUCUAUUGCAAAUAUGUAGCAAAACAGCUUUACAUAAAAUAAAUAGAAACAAAGAAACAUACUGCUUUGCCCCCUGGUACAACUGUACUGUAGGUGUGUACAGAAAAGGAGGUACAAUAAAUGAUUAUCAGCAAGCUCAAGUUCUUUGCAUUUUAUUUCAUUAGACUCCAACAUUUGAUAAAAGCAACAAUCACCAAAUUAUAUAUGAAUAAACCUUCCAUAAAUAACGUUUUCACAGCCAUCACAAAGUCUAGAAUGCAGAUGCUAAUUAGAGCCAAAAUCACCAGUUUUUUAAAAUUAUGUAAUUAAAACUAAGGUAUUUUCAUUUAUAAUGUGAUUCUCAUAUUCAUAGUAACAGAUAUUGGUUAAUAUUUCCAUUACAUUUGAAUAGUCUGAGCCUGAAAAUAAUUGUUUCAGCUGAACUGUUUCCAUUUUUAUAUUACAAAAUCUGAAUGUGUUUUAUAUUAUAAAAUCUGAAUGAGUUGAAUACUUUACUUUGACAUAACCAAGUAGACCCUUCCUUAUAGUUAGAAAUAUACUUAGGGUGAGAUUUCUUGUGGUGCAAUGGGUUAAGGAUCUGACUUUGCCACAGCUGUGCCACAGGUCGCAGCUGCACCUCAGAUUCCAGGAACUUCCAUAUGCUGUGGGUGGGGCCAAAAAGAAAAAGAGAAACAUUUCCCUCGGUGGCUUUGGUCUAGGAAUAGAUGGUUAUUAUGUCCAUUAAAUAGGAAAGAUUAUAUGAACAAAUAAUAUCAUAGCUCUGUGGAAUGACUAAUGGUCUUUGCAAAGGCCUAGACUGGUUGCAUCUUUCUUGACAUUUUAUCACUGAUUUGUACUUAGUAAUGUGUAGUCAGUAAGGCCAGCAGAGGUAACACAUGUUUGAUAUAUGAAACUUGAGUCACUUUUGUCAGACUGCAUUUAUUUUAAGCUAUACACAUACCUCGUACUCUUACAUGCAUAUAUUCUUGGGCUUUAGUUUUUUCUUGUUUCCAGUGAAGGGUCUAAUAGAUAUGACAAUUAUAAUAACACUACCUUCAAAAGCUCUGCAAAAAACAAUAUAUAUCCAUUUCCUUGCAAGGGAUGCACUUCCAUUGCAGAUUAAACAAAUGACUAUAGAGCAAGCACCUUAAUAAAAGGACUUAGCCUUUGUUUGUUGCCGUAUUUGCACAGCUUACAACUAUCUCUUACCUUUUAGCAUAUAUUAUCCACUUCAAUUCAAUACAUUCUUUACAAUCUGCAGCAAGCCACAGAAAUUCUCUUUUAGUUGAAAGGAAAUUUCAAGGGAGGAGGGGUGUGGAAAAACAUUUAAUUUAUCCUAUUGAAAAGGAACCAUUCUAGAUGGUUUCUGAGCACUUUUGCAUUUUCUUACACACUGCAAAUCAGCUCAGAUAUCUUAAUCAGUGGCUAGAAACAUAUCCUUAUCAGUAACAUAUUCAUGAAAGAUGGUAUGUGUAUGAGCAGCAAAAUGUUUGGCAGAGACCCAGGAAUAAAAAAGAAAGAAAGAAUAUGGUAAAGAGUUGAUGGAAUAGCUUUGUGUUUCAACCCUAUUCAUUUGGGGAAUUUUCUAUCAUCUCUGUUUGUUCUGUAUGGAAGGAUAAUUGACAAACCCACAGAAUGUCAGAUUUCUAUGACUUGAUUUCAUCUAUAUAUAGAUAUAUUUACUGUACAGUGAUCCAGGAUGGAAGCAUAUCUAUACAUAGUAGUGUAUAAAAGAACAUAUAUACACUCUCAUGUCUUUCUAAAUUUUCCUGUUCAUGGUAUUAUCUUAUGCAAAGUUUAUUGCUUUUCUGUUUUGACAAUCUAAGCACUGUCUAAAUAUUAUUUCACAAAAUCAAAGAGUAGUUCCUGACAAUUAAUUUCUGCAGUCAAUGGUCUACUCAAACUGGGCAACUCCCCUCGGAACUUAGAAGCCACAACAGCAGACUGUGUGCGUGGAAGAGCAAGACAAUUCAUUAGCCGAUUCUGCAGCAACUCAAAGCGGCGGGGGAUGUCAGCCCCUGCUCUGGUGCUUCAAUACUAAUGAGAGUCAUUGCAUAUUCAUAACCUCAAAUACAGUCAGCUUCUUGUAAAAACUUUUGUCACCCAGGCUUCAUGGCAAGAGCAGAGCACUGCACAAUUCGUGUCAUGGCACUUCCGCCAAGUGAGUGCAAGACCAAGAUUGAUUGUUUUGCAACGCAGCCUGACACAGAACUAAAAGAUGCUGCCCCAAGGGUCCUAAAACUCUGCUUAGUUUGAUAGUGAAGCCCCAAAUAAUCAAAGAAACAAAAAGGAGGCAGCAGCAAUGAAUAUGUUUGUCGAUAUAUACAUAUACCAUCAUAUACACCAUACAUAAAAAAUAUAUAAAAGAAUACUUCGAACAAGGAAUUUGGUUUAUUCUGUGCUCAGAUUAAUUAUCUGUUAGGAAUGUAAUACCAACUACACAAUUCUUUUGUUGAAAGAAGCGUGUACCCCAGUAAACUUGUUAUCAAGUUGCAAAAACACUACAGCAAAGCUUAAUAGAAACAGAUUUCUAAAAUUGUCUGAAGUUUCCCGUCAUUAUCAAUACCAAAGCUUCAUGAACUGAACCUGUCAGCUCUGCCAAAGCUAGAGCUAUCUGGAAUCCAAUUCCUCAGGCAGCUUUUUGUGCUAUUGUCACUGCCUCCCUUGCUUUAUCAUCAUCAUCAUUAUGAUUGGUUUCCAGAAGUGAGCUGUUCAGUGUGCUUACCAGGAAAUCCUAAGGGCCCCAUUUGACCCCAAAAUACCUAUAUGUUUGGGGUAGCUAGCAGCAUUCCCCAGAGUCAGAGAAAGGAAAUGUGUGCUUCAGCACCCACUUUGAAAAAGCCUUGAGCAUUUUUUCACUCAUAAUGAUGUCUUCAGCUGGAAUGCCAGCACACUUCCACAUUUUUCUGACAGGCAUAUAGUAUAUAAACUAUCCGUAAAAAUUAAAUAAAACAGGACAGCGAAAGAAAAGUUUCUAAAUUUGAUCACAUUUGAGUUGUUAAAAGUUAUUUCCAGAUAUAUCAUGUGUAUAAAUAUCUGCAUAGCUAAAGACAAAUCAGGAAUAUUGGGAGGACGGUGGGGGAUAGAUGAUGAGGUGUUGUCGGGGAAGGGGCUCACCAAACUGUUUUAUAUCUUAGUCACAGACACACAAGCUUCGAAAAUAGAAGGAUUUGUGUUUAUGAUUGAUUGAGGUAACUGAUUAUCCACAGAUAUUUUAAGUGUUGAGACAUUAAAUUGUCAGCUCUAUCAGUUUGAUUGCAGUAAAACAUGAAAACAUUGACUUUUGUCUAGUUAGAGAAAUUUAUUUUUCCCAGACUGACAAUCUUUUAAGUAGAAGCCAGGCAGCUUGCCAGCUUUCCAUGUCAUACAUUGAAGUUUGCAAAUGCUACCCAUAUUUUCAAGUGUUUUUCAAGGUUCAACGAAUGGUGUAUAGGUCUUUUGCAAAUAGUCUUGUAAUAAACAGAUUCCUACAGUACUUCAUUCUUUAAGCCUGAGGAAAGUAUUUACUCAUUUUGAAGAAAAAAAAAAUUAUAGGAGGUUCCACCGUGGUGCAAUGGGAUUGGCAGUCUCUUGGAAGGGCUGGGAUGCAGGUUUGAUCCCCACCCCCCACCCCGGCCUGGCACAGCAGGUUAAAGGAUUCAGCAUUGCCACUGCUGCAGCUUAGGUCACAACUAUGGCUCAGAUCUGAUCCCCGGCCUGGGAACUCCAUAUGCCACAAGGAGGCCAAAAAAGAAAAGAAAAAAAUAUAUAUAUUUAAUUUCUCUGAUUUUCUUUAAGAUACCAUACUCCAACCUAAAAGAAAGAUGUUACAAUCAAGUAAAUUCUACUAAAAUUUGAUUAUCAUUAAAUCGGCCUAUAUCCUAGACCCUUGUGUGCAUACCAUAUGUGUGCAUACUAUUUUACAAAAUAAAAAAUACCUUAUUUGUUAUUGCUUUUUAGAAGACCUGUGCUUUUCAUUAGGCAGAACUGUGAUUCCAGUGUUUAAAACCCUGUCCAUUACAAGAAUCAAAAAUGUUAGAUGUUAUAUAUAGUCAAUCUUUUCCACGAAAUCUGACUGGGAAGUUGUCAUGAGGCCCGAUGACUUAAAUGAACGCACCAAUCGAAAGACAGAUGUAGUCAUUAAUUCCACUGAAACACCAACAUCUCUAUGUUCUCCAAGCAUUUAUCAUGAUCAUUAAAAUGCAGAAUGUUGUAAUGACCAGCAGACCAUUGAGCCAUCAGUAUCUUGAUUUCUACAGACAGCAGUAGAGAGUACCUGGAGGAAAAAAAUCCCUGAACAGCUAAGCAAGGGUACACCAACCAGAACAACUUC